This 74-nucleotide transfer RNA is filed under the name Peptoniphilus sp. oral taxon 386 str. F0131. It matches the Rfam family "tRNA". From Rfam's summary of the family: Transfer RNA (tRNA) molecules are approximately 80 nucleotides in length. Their secondary structure includes four short double-helical elements and three loops (D, anti-codon, and T loops). Further hydrogen bonds mediate the characteristic L-shaped molecular structure. tRNAs have two regions of fundamental functional importance: the anti-codon, which is responsible for specific mRNA codon recognition, and the 3' end, to which the tRNAs corresponding amino acid is attached (by aminoacyl-tRNA synthetases). tRNAs cope with the degeneracy of the genetic code in two manners: having more than one tRNA (with a specific anti-codon) for a particular amino acid; and 'wobble' base-pairing, i.e. permitting non-standard base-pairing at the 3rd anti-codon position. Lineage: Bacteria; Bacillati; Bacillota; Tissierellia; Tissierellales; Peptoniphilaceae. The record is from Rfam by way of RNAcentral.
GCACCGUUAGCUCAGCUGGAUAGAGCGUCUGGCUACGGACCAGAAGGUCAGGGGUUCGAAUCCUCCACGGUGCA